CCUACGGGAGGCAGCAGUAAGGAAUAUUGGACAAUGCUCGCAAGAGUGAUCCAGCCAUGCCGCGUGCAGGAAGAAUGCCCUAUGGGUAGUAAACUGCUUUUGAACUAGAGAAAAUCCCAGUACGUGUACUGGGCUGAUAGUAUAGUUAGAAUAAGCAUCGGCUAACUUCGUGCCAGCAGCCGCGGUAAGACGAAGGAUGCAAGCGUUAUCCGGAUUCAUUGGGUUUAAAAGGGAGCGUAGGUGGACUGAUAAGUCAGUGGUGAAAUCUCCGAGCUUAACUCGGAAAUUGCCAUUGAUACUGUUGGUCUUGAGUACAGUUGCUGUGGGCGGAAUAUGACAUGUAGUGGUGAAAUACAUAGAGAUGUCAUAGAACACCGAUUGCGAAGGCAGCUCACAAAGCUGUAACUGACACUGAGGCUCGAAAGUGCGGGGAUCAAACAGGAUUAGAUACCCUGGUAGUCCGCACCGUAACGAUGAUUACUCGCUGCUAGGGGGCAACCGUUAGUGGCUUAGCGAAAGCGAUAAGAAUCCACCUGGGAGUACGCCGGCAACCGGUGAAACGUUAAAGGGAAUUAGACGG
Molecule: ribosomal RNA, 580 nt
Filed under: uncultured bacterium
Lineage: Bacteria
Description: bacterial SSU rRNA
Rfam family: Bacterial small subunit ribosomal RNA
Source: RNAcentral